CGGCUAGCGCUCUUCAAUGUGAGUUAGAAGAUUGAAGCAAUACUGGAGAGAGACAUUUCUAACCAGAUGUAUAAACUUCAUGCCGUCACCGUGGUUUCCCUCAUUUUGUUUUCACCUGGAGACAUCCAUCUGAAAUACACAGACCUGAGUUCUUACUCUGCCUGAAGGACUUUGCAGGAGACGUGCCAUGAGCUGGGUCUCUUCCAGCCGCCAAGCAUCCUUCUGCCCAGUCCCACUGUCUGUUUUGUGACCAUCCUCAACAGUCGAUGCAUCAACACCAAAAUAUUUGGGAGCUAAGCAAACAGAAGUCAUGGAAUGAUUCUCAGAACCAACCACAUAAAGAGCAAAAUGCAGGCCUCCUGCAGAGGGAGUUGUUUUGAAGAUCUCAUGCCAUACCCUCCGCUACCCUUAGACCUCAGGGAGAGCUCACCACCCACAGGCCUUGCCUGGUGCUUCUCCCCAGAGCAGUUCAGACCGCCCAGCCUGGACAUGCAUGUGAACCUCUGUGAAGAGCAUUCUCCAAUUAGUAGGGAAAACAGCCUUGUGUCAGUGCUGGGAAACUGUGGGUUGGUCGACCAAGGCUGAUUCAACGGGCAGGUCACAACAAGGCCAAUGUGAAUUCUAAAAUGUUUCACUCGAAUCCUAUUACUAGCCUAGUAAACAGGACUACAAAACUUUAUGUCAAGCUCUGCAAACGACAAUAAAAAUUUCAGAAGCGCCCAAGGUGGAAAGAAGAGAGAGAGAGUCAUAAACACCCGAGUCAAGGAUUUAAGAUGAUGUCGAAGA
This 786-nucleotide long non-coding RNA is filed under the name Equus caballus (horse). Its description in RNAcentral is "lncRNA (ENSECAG00000032178.2)". Lineage: Eukaryota; Metazoa; Chordata; Mammalia; Perissodactyla; Equidae. The record is from RNAcentral.